ACUCCUACGGGAGGCAGCAGUGGGGAAUAUUGGACAAUGGGCGAAAGCCUGAUCCAGCCAUGCCGCGUGUGUGAAGAAGGUCUUCGGAUUGUAAAGCACUUUAAGUUGGGAGGAAGGGCAGUAAGUUAAUACCUUGCUGUUUUGACGUUACCAACAGAAUAAGCACCGGCUAACUUCGUGCCAGCAGCCGCGGUAAUACGAAGGGUGCAAGCGUUAAUCGGAAUUACUGGGCGUAAAGCGCGCGUAGGUGGUUCAGCAAGUUGGAUGUGAAAUCCCCCGGGCUCAACCUGGGAACUGCAUCCAAAACUACUGAGCUAGAGUACGGUAGAGGUGGUGGAAUUUCCUGUGUAGCGGUGAAAUGCGUAGAUAUAGGAAGGAACACCAGUGGCGAAGGCGACCACCUGGACUGAUACUGACACUGAGGUGCGAAAGCGUGGGAGCAAACAGGAUUAGAUACCCCUGGUAGGAUAGCG
RNAcentral lists this ribosomal RNA (473 nucleotides) under uncultured bacterium. Its description in RNAcentral is "bacterial SSU rRNA". It matches the Rfam family "Bacterial small subunit ribosomal RNA", at positions 335 to 799 of the family's 1533-position model. The record is from RNAcentral.